Molecule: ribosomal RNA, 468 nt
Filed under: uncultured bacterium
Lineage: Bacteria
Description: partial 16S ribosomal RNA
Rfam family: Bacterial small subunit ribosomal RNA
Source: RNAcentral
GACGAACGCUGGCGGCGUGCUUAACACAUGCAAGUCGAACGGAAAGGCCCUGCUUUUGUGGGGUGCUCGAGUGGCGAACGGGUGAGUAACACGUGAGUAACCUGCCCUUGACUUUGGGAUAACUUCAGGAAACUGGGGCUAAUACCGGAUAGGAGCUCCUGCUGCAUGGUGGGGGUUGGAAAGUUUCGGCGGUUGGGGAUGGACUCGCGGCUUAUCAGCUUGUUGGUGGGGUAGUGGCUUACCAAGGCUUUGACGGGUAGCCGGCCUGAGAGGGUGACCGGCCACAUUGGGCCUGAGAUACGGCCCAGACUCCUACGGGAGGCAGCAGUGGGGAGUAUUGCACAAUGGGCGGAAGCCUGAUGCAGCAACCCCGCGUGCGGGAAGACGGCCUUCGGGUUGUAAACCGCUGUCGCCUGUGACGAAGCGUGAGUGACGGUAAUGGGUAAAGAAGCACCGGCUAACUACGUG